GGCACAGUAGCGCAGUGUUUAGCACUAUUGUCUUGCAAAAAGGAUGUUCUGGGUUUGAGUCCCAGCCGGCCA
Non-coding RNA from Gymnothorax javanicus (giant moray), 72 nucleotides. Lineage: Eukaryota; Metazoa; Chordata; Actinopteri; Anguilliformes; Muraenidae. The record is from the annotation of a GenBank genome assembly.